This 92-nucleotide transfer RNA is filed under the name Patescibacteria group bacterium. Its description in RNAcentral is "tRNA-Ser". It matches the Rfam family "tRNA". Rfam says of the family: Transfer RNA (tRNA) molecules are approximately 80 nucleotides in length. Their secondary structure includes four short double-helical elements and three loops (D, anti-codon, and T loops). The record is from RNAcentral.
GGAGGGGUGUCAGAGUGGUCUAACGUACCUCUUUGCUAAAGAGGCAGGGGCUUUAAACCCCCUCGGGGGUUCGAAUCCCCCCCCUUCCGCCA